GCCGAAGUGGUGGAAUUGGUAGACACGCCAUCUUGAGGGGGUGGUGGGCAAAACCCGUGGGGGUUCAAAUCCCCCCUUCGGCACCA
RNAcentral lists this transfer RNA (86 nucleotides) under Deltaproteobacteria bacterium RBG_16_49_23. RNAcentral's name for it is "tRNA-Leu". It matches the Rfam family "tRNA". From Rfam's summary of the family: Transfer RNA (tRNA) molecules are approximately 80 nucleotides in length. Their secondary structure includes four short double-helical elements and three loops (D, anti-codon, and T loops). Further hydrogen bonds mediate the characteristic L-shaped molecular structure. tRNAs have two regions of fundamental functional importance: the anti-codon, which is responsible for specific mRNA codon recognition, and the 3' end, to which the tRNAs corresponding amino acid is attached (by aminoacyl-tRNA synthetases). tRNAs cope with the degeneracy of the genetic code in two manners: having more than one tRNA (with a specific anti-codon) for a particular amino acid; and 'wobble' base-pairing, i.e. permitting non-standard base-pairing at the 3rd anti-codon position. RNAcentral also lists the same sequence under 2 other names. The record is from RNAcentral. Lineage: Bacteria; Deltaproteobacteria.